CUGAAUUCUUUAAACACCCUAUCUCCUCCUUUCCUCACGGGGGCCUCGUGUGCAAUGGCUGCAAACAGCAGCCUCCUUGAUAGUUGCUUGCCUAUUGCUUGUAUAGGUUGCUCUAAGGGACCUUGGAGACAUUC
Otolemur garnettii (small-eared galago) is the source of this 134-nucleotide small nucleolar RNA. Its record names the gene SNORA70. It matches the Rfam family "Small nucleolar RNA SNORA70". From Rfam's summary of the family: snoRNA U70 seems to be exclusive to mammals and is a member of the H/ACA class of snoRNA which contain H (ANANNA) and ACA box motifs. H/ACA box snoRNAs are involved in the conversion of uridines to pseudouridines (5-ribosyluracil) a constituent of structural RNAs (transfer, ribosomal, small nuclear, and small nucleolar). The record is from Ensembl. NCBI's taxonomy places the organism in Eukaryota, Metazoa, Chordata, Mammalia, Primates, Galagidae.